AUUAAACGCUGGCGGCAUGCCUUACACAUGCAAGUCGAACGGCAGCACGGGGGCAACCCUGGUGGCGAGUGGCGGACGGGUGAGUAAAGCAUCGGAACGUAUCCUGGAGUGGGGGGAUAACGUAGCGAAAGUUACGCUAAUACCGCAUAUUCUGUGAGCAGGAAAGCAGGGGAUCGCAAGACCUUGCGCUCUGGGAGCGGCCGAUGUCGGAUUAGCUAGUUGGUGGGGUAAAGGCCUACCAAGGCGACGAUCCGUAGCGGGUCUGAGAGGAUGAUCCGCCACACUGGGACUGAGACACGGCCCAGACUCCUACGGGAGGCAGCAGUGGGGAAUUUUGGGACAAUGGGCGGAAGCCUGAUCCAGCCAUGCCGCGUGAGUGAAGAAGGCCUCGG
This 392-nucleotide ribosomal RNA is filed under the name uncultured bacterium. Its description in RNAcentral is "bacterial SSU rRNA". It matches the Rfam family "Bacterial small subunit ribosomal RNA", at positions 29 to 420 of the family's 1533-position model. The record is from RNAcentral.